UGGGGAAUAUUGCACAAUGGGGGAAACCCUGAUGCAGCCAUGCCGCGUGUGUGAAGAAGGCCUUCGGGUUGUAAAGCACUUUCAGUAGGGAGGAAAGGUAAUAGUUUAAUACGCUAUUACUGUGACGUUACCUACAGAAGAAGGACCGGCUAACUCCGUGCCAGCAGCCGCGGUAAUACGGAGGGUCCGAGCGUUAAUCGGAAUUACUGGGCGUAAAGCGUGCGCAGGCGGUUUGUUAAGCGAGACGUGAAAGCCCCGGGCUCAACCUGGGAAUUGCAUUUCGAACUGGCGAACUAGAGUCUUGUAGAGGGGGGUAGAAUUCCAGGUGUAGCGGUGAAAUGCGUAGAGAUCUGGAGGAAUACCGGUGGCGAAGGCGGCCCCCUGGACAAAGACUGACGCUCAGGCACGAAAGCGUGGGGAGCAAACAGGAUUAGAUACCCUGGUAGUCCACGCCGUAAACGAUGUCUACUCGGAGUUUGGUGUCUUGAACACUGGGCUCUCAAGCUAACGCAUUAAGUAGACCGCCUGGGGAGUACGGCCGCAAGGUUA
Molecule: ribosomal RNA, 549 nt
Filed under: uncultured bacterium
Lineage: Bacteria
Description: bacterial SSU rRNA
Rfam family: Bacterial small subunit ribosomal RNA
Source: RNAcentral